RNAcentral lists this long non-coding RNA (301 nucleotides) under Rattus norvegicus (Norway rat). RNAcentral's name for it is "long non-coding RNA NONRATT033691". Lineage: Eukaryota; Metazoa; Chordata; Mammalia; Rodentia; Muridae. The record is from RNAcentral.
GAGUUAUGAAUUCCCUUCCUGGUACAGCUGCAGAGCCGCAGAGCCCUAUGAAAGGAGCCAAAAGAGCAGCAGACAAGGAGGAGGAGGAGGAAGAGGAAGAGGAAGAAGAGGAAGAGGAAGAGAAGGAGGAGCAACAGGAGAAGGAGGAGGAGCAGCAGCAGGCAGAGGGUCUUAAAAGACAGAAACUAUUGGAUAUUUUUAUUUACAUCUUAAAUGUUAUCCCCUUUCCCUCUUUCCCCUCUGGAAACCUCCUAUCUCAUCCCCCCUACCCCUGCUUCUGUGAAGGUGCUCUCCACCCACC